RNAcentral lists this ribosomal RNA (492 nucleotides) under uncultured bacterium. RNAcentral's name for it is "partial 16S ribosomal RNA". It matches the Rfam family "Bacterial small subunit ribosomal RNA", at positions 29 to 507 of the family's 1533-position model. The record is from RNAcentral.
AAUGAACGCUGGCGGCAGGCCUAACACAUGCAAGUCGAACGGCAGCACAGUAAGAGCGUGCUCUUACCGGUUGCGAGUGGCGGGCGGGUGACGUGUACAUCGGAACCUACUUUUUCGGGGGGGAUAACGUAGGGAAAGUUACGCUAAUACCGCAGACGACCUACGGGGGAAAGCAGUGGAUCUUCGCGCCUUGCGCGACUGAACUAGCCGCUGUCGGACUAGCUAGUUGGGGGGGUAAAGGCCCACCAAGGCGACGAUCCGUAGCUGGUCUGAGUGGAUGAUCAGCGACACUGGAGGUGAGACACGGUCAAGACUCCUAAGGGACGCAGCAGUGGGGAACAUUGGACAAUGGGCGAAAGUCUGACCCAGACAGCCCGCGUGGGUGAAGAAGACCUUCGGUGCGUAAAGCCCUUUUGUUGGGGAAGAACAGCUGUAGGUUGAUACGCCGCGGUUCUGACGGUACCGAAUGAAUAAGCACCGGCUAACUACGUG